This 492-nucleotide ribosomal RNA is filed under the name uncultured bacterium. RNAcentral describes it as "partial 16S ribosomal RNA". It matches the Rfam family "Bacterial small subunit ribosomal RNA", at positions 29 to 507 of the family's 1533-position model. The record is from RNAcentral.
AGUGAACGCUGGCGGUAGGCCUAACACAUGCAAGUCGAACGGCAGCACAGUAAGAGCUUGCUCUUACGGGUGGCGAGUGGCGGACGGGUGAGGAAUACAUCGGAAUCUACUUUUUCGUGGGGGAUAACGUAGGGAAACUUACGCUAAUACCGCAUACGACCUACGGGUGAAAGCAGGGGAUCUUCGGACCUUGCGCGAUUGAAUGAGCCGAUGUCGGAUUAGCUAGUUGGCGGGGUAAAGGCCCACCAAGUCGACGAUCCGUAGCUGGUCUGAGAGGAUGAUCAGCCACACUGGAACUGAGACACGGUCCAGACUCCUACGGGAGGCAGCAGUGGGGAAUAUUGGACAAUGGGCGCAAGCCUGGUCCAGCCAUACCGCGUGGGUGAAGAAGGCCUUCGGGUUGUAAAGCCCUUUUGUUGGGAAAGAAAAGCAGCAGGUUAAUACCCCGCUGUUCUGACGGUACCCAAAGAAUAAGCACCGGCUAACUUCGUG